This 1217-nucleotide ribosomal RNA is filed under the name Bacillus pumilus. Its description in RNAcentral is "bacterial SSU rRNA". It matches the Rfam family "Bacterial small subunit ribosomal RNA", at positions 240 to 1452 of the family's 1533-position model. The record is from RNAcentral. Lineage: Bacteria; Bacillati; Bacillota; Bacilli; Caryophanales; Bacillaceae.
CUUAGCUAGUGGGGGGGUAUGGCUCACCAAGCGACGAUGCGUAGCCGACCUGAGAGGGUGAUCGGCCACACUGGGAAUGAGACACGGCCCAGAUUCCUACGGGAGGCAGCAGUAGGGAAUCUUCCGCAAUGGACGAAAGUCUGACGGAGCAACGCCGCGUGAGUGAUGAAGGUUUUCGGAUCGUAAAGCUCUGUUGUUAGGGAAGAACAAGUGCGAGAGUAACUGCUCGCACCUUGACGGUACCUAACCAGAAAGCCACGGCUAACUACGUGCCAGCAGCCGCGGUAAUACGUAGGUGGCAAGCGUUGUCCGGAAUUAUUGGGCGUAAAGGGCUCGCAGGCGGUUUCUUAAGUCUGAUGUGAAAGCCCCCGGCUCAACCGGGGAGGGUCAUUGGAAACUGGGAAACUUGAGUGCAGAAGAGGAGAGUGGAAUUCCACGUGUAGCGGUGAAAUGCGUAGAGAUGUGGAGGAACACCAGUGGCGAAGGCGACUCUCUGGUCUGUAACUGACGCUGAGGAGCGAAAGCGUGGGGAGCGAACAGGAUUAGAUACCCUGGUAGUCCACGCCGUAAACGAUGAGUGCUAAGUGUUAGGGGGUUUCCGCCCCUUAGUGCUGCAGCUAACGCAUUAAGCACUCCGCCUGGGGAGUACGGUCGCAAGACUGAAACUCAAAGGAAUUGACGGGGGCCCGCACAAGCGGUGGAGCAUGUGGUUUAAUUCGAAGCAACGCGAAGAACCUUACCAGGUCUUGACAUCCUCUGACAACCCUAGAGAUAGGGCUUUCCCUUCGGGGACAGAGUGACAGGUGGUGCAUGGUUGUCGUCAGCUCGUGUCGUGAGAUGUUGGGUUAAGUCCCGCAACGAGCGCAACCCUUGAUCUUAGUUGCCAGCAUUUAGUUGGGCACUCUAAGGUGACUGCCGGUGACAAACCGGAGGAAGGUGGGGAUGACGUCAAAUCAUCAUGCCCCUUAUGACCUGGGCUACACACGUGCUACAAUGGACAGAACAAAGGGCUGCGAGACCGCAAGGUUUAGCCAAUCCCAUAAAUCUGUUCUCAGUUCGGAUCGCAGUCUGCAACUCGACUGCGUGAAGCUGGAAUCGCUAGUAAUCGCGGAUCAGCAUGCCGCGGUGAAUACGUUCCCGGGCCUUGUACACACCGCCCGUCACACCACGAGAGUUUGCAACACCCGAAGUCGGUGAGGUAACCUUUAUGGAGCCAG